Molecule: long non-coding RNA, 411 nt
Filed under: Theobroma cacao (cacao)
Lineage: Eukaryota; Viridiplantae; Streptophyta; Magnoliopsida; Malvales; Malvaceae
Description: long non-coding RNA (TCAC_LNC004079)
Source: RNAcentral
UGCAUGUAUGAGUAGCUACUUCUACACAUGGAGCUGCUCUGUCUGGAAUAUUAAUAGCAUGUUUCAUUUUCAAUAAUAUUUCCCAAUCAACUCUAUAAUUGUAUCUAGCUAUAUAGGUUAACGUAUUUCUUUUCCAUUGCUUCUCUUUUCCCUUUUCUUUUCUUCCUCUUUGGUUCCUGAAUUUGGUCACAUCUAUGACAUUUAAGAUUCCUCUUGCAUUUAGAAAGUAUGUAGAUAUAAAACAUUUAAAGUAAUAGUAAAAAGAAAUACUAUAUAUAGCAAAAGAAUAAAUUAAAGCAUGAGGCAGAGGAGAAGCCUUCUCCUAUUCAUCUAUGACUUAAUUUAUAAAUUUAGGAAUUCUAAUUUAUUAAAAUAGUCACGUACUUGAAAUUUUGUAAUUCAUAAUAUUAU